Molecule: ribosomal RNA, 497 nt
Filed under: uncultured bacterium
Lineage: Bacteria
Description: partial 16S ribosomal RNA
Rfam family: Bacterial small subunit ribosomal RNA
Source: RNAcentral
GAUGAACGCUGGCGGCGUGCCUAAUACAUGCAAGUCGAGCGAACAGAUGAGGAGCUUGCUCCUCUGACGUUAGCGGCGGACGGGUGAGUAACACGUGGAUAACCUACCUAUAAGACUGGGAUAACUUCGGGAAACCGGAGCUAAUACCGGAUAAUAUAUUGAACCGCAUGGUUCAAUAGUGAAAGACGGUUUUGCUGUCACUUAUAGAUGGAUCCGCGCCGCAUUAGCUAGUUGGUAAGGUAACGGCUUACCAAGGCGACGAUGCGUAGCCGACCUGAGAGGGUGAUCGGCCACACUGGAACUGAGACACGGUCCAGACUCCUACGGGAGGCAGCAGUAGGGAAUCUUCCGCAAUGGACGAAAGCCUGACGGAGCAACGCCGCGUGAGUGAUGAAGGUCUUCGGAUCGUAAAACUCUGUUAUUAGGGAAGAACAAAUGUGUAAGUAACUAUGCACGUCUUGACGGUACCUAAUCAGAAAGCCACGGCUAACUACGUG